CGCGAAUGGCUCAUUACAACAGCUAUAAUUUACUUGAUCUUGACUUCCUACUUGGAUAACUGUGGUAAUUCUAGAGCUAAUACAUGCACCAAAGCUCCGACCUUACGGGAAGAGCGCAUUUAUUCGAACAAAACCAAGCGGCUUCGGCCGUCCGCAGUUGACUCAGAAUAACUAAGCUGAUCGCAUGGUCUUGCACCGGCGACGUGUCUUUCAAGUAUCUGCCUUAUCAACUUUCGAUGGUAGUGUAUCUGACUACCGUGGUGAUCACGCGCAACGGAGAAUAAGGGUUCGGCUCCGGAGAGUUCGCCUGAGAAAUCGCGAACACAUCUAAGGAAGGCAGCAGGCGCGAAAAUUACCCACUCUCAGCACGAGGGGGUAGUGACGAAAAAUAACGAGACCGUUCUCUUAUGAGGCCGGUCAUCGGAAUGGGUACAAUUUAAACCCUUUAACGAGUAUCUAUGAGAGGGCAAGUCUGGUGCCAGCAGCCGCGGUAAUUCCAGCU
This 502-nucleotide ribosomal RNA is filed under the name Acrobeloides sp. PS-1146. RNAcentral describes it as "SSU rRNA". It matches the Rfam family "Eukaryotic small subunit ribosomal RNA", at positions 88 to 590 of the family's 1831-position model. The record is from RNAcentral. Lineage: Eukaryota; Metazoa; Nematoda; Chromadorea; Rhabditida; Cephalobidae.